GUCAUCGUGAGGUGAGGUCUGGACGCUUCGCAGAGCUGGCGGCAAACUUGCAGUUUGAGGAACACAAACCCGAUAAGAGGCCGUGAGGCAGGGCGAGUUGGCAUGAGACAACGAAGCCCCGUGCAAUCAAGGGCUUGGGAAGUAAAUGCGACAAGGGUGCAGGGAAAGUCCAACCAGU
Non-coding RNA from Anaerolineae bacterium CG1_02_58_13, 178 nucleotides. NCBI's taxonomy places the organism in Bacteria, Bacillati, Chloroflexota, Anaerolineae. The record is from Rfam.